This is a long non-coding RNA of Mustela erminea (ermine), 3593 nucleotides long. RefSeq lists it as uncharacterized. The record is from RefSeq and is a predicted model, not a curated record. Lineage: Eukaryota; Metazoa; Chordata; Mammalia; Carnivora; Mustelidae. The transcript is spliced from 3 exons.
CAUGACCUGAGCUGAAGGCAGAGGCUUUAACCCACUGAGCCACCCAGGCACCCCAAUAUCUUCUUAGAACGUUUUCUACAUAUUCUUUUCACCUGUUACUGUAUACCAGCCACUUGCUUGUUCCUAUGAAUACCCCUAACUCAGCCCUGUGGUUCUUCCGGACGGGCUCCCACGCUGAGUCGGGUCUUGAAGAUCACGGCCUUUGAAUGCACUUUGUAUGCUGCCGGUCAUCGCCCUGGCUUCGGACCCCUCCAAGGCUCCCUGCAUGAAAUUCUGAAGUGCCAACAGAUGUGUAUUCUACAAAGGGCUUUCUGCGAUGUCAUAAUGAUGGGAACAGAAAAAGCAGAGCAUUUCGCCUGUGCAUAAAGUCGGUAAGACAGUCCUUCCGUCGGGGAGAAGUCCAGACAGGCCAAGCCUGCAGUAACGCUUUAUGUGGACUUUAUACAAACCACGUGUAGCAAAAUGCCAAAUCCACAACAGCUUACACAAGAUAAAAGUGGUUUAGGAGGCCGAACGGUGGCUGUACCCUAACACCCACAGGGACUCAGGCUCCUUCCAUCCCAGAUGACGGCCCUUCUCCGGCGACGGCCGCAGGACCUGCAAGACAGAGGGAAAGACAGGAAGGAAAGAGCAGGUAAUUUUUCAGCUCUUUGACCGGGACCUAGUCAUGUGACUGUACUUGCACACGGGAAGCUGGGAAGUGUACCCAGCCGUGUGGCCAGCAGCCAUGUACCCAGCAAAACCGGGCAUUUCAUCAGCCUGGAAGACCGGAGACAGGCGUUGGAGAGCAACCGGCAAUCUCUAUUGCUCAGUCCAGCCGGGCUGUCCUGGCCGGCCCCGGUCUGACCUCUGAUCACACAUCCCCGUUCCUAUCACGAGUGUCUCGUGACGUUUCCAGCCACAUCACUCCCAUCCGCAGCCACAUGCACUUAUCUAUUUCAGCUGUACUUAUCUACUUCAUCCCCCUAAGAAUUAAGUGUCAUAAAUAUGUACUUUUAUUACAAUGAUAAAGGGAACUUCCGGCCGGCAAAAGCACAGACGAAAAUACAAGAUGAAUGGAAGUGGUUAUUUUUCUCCCAAGAUCUACGGUAAAUAUCUGGGCUUCUUGACCCUGCCAAGUCCCCUCCUGCCCCCCUUAUGAGCGAGCUCGUGUCCAGAGUGCUUCAGCACUCCACUCCGGAGUCUGCCCAGCCCAUCCCCAGGCGCUGGGUGUGACGCUUUGUCCUGCGUCCGCAGCCGCCUGUGCGUUGCCACGACCAGCCUUGAACAGUGACCACCCCGCAGCACGGCCCCUGCCACGGCAGGAAAAGUCAAACCGAGAUACACACAUUUGCUACCUUCCCCAAAGGAGAAAAAAGCAAACGGAAGGUUACAGUUGCCUUCCUGUCCCCGGUUUUGUUUUCAUUUUUUCCUCUAAGUGUGAAGAGAGAACAAAGACCGUCGGUUGCAGCCUUUCACAGCCGCAGCGGACAGCUCCAGUUGUAUCCAGCCUGGUACAGACUGGCUGAAAGACACGUCCCGAGAGCAAGUCCAGGGGACUGCGGGGGCCCCUCGGAACGGCCAGGACCGCGUGGGAGUCCGGUGUGUGCACGAGGAAGAGUCGGAAACUGAUCCAGCAGCAGUGGCUGCGUCCAGCGCCGACGUUUCUGAAAAGGUGCGUCUUCUCACUGCUGAGCAGUGUUUCCUUGUGCGACUAAACCGCCAUCGGUUCCUCCAUCCACAAUCGACAGACACAUGAGCUGUUACGGGUUCCUGCUGCUGCACAUACAGCUGUGAUGUCCGGUUCCGCAGUUUCUCCCUUAUUACUACGGACGUCUGAGGUCAAACGAUUCUUCGCGUGGAGAGCUGUCCUGUUGCAUUGCGGGAAAUGCAGCUGCUUCCCUACAUGCCACAGGCAGCCUCCAAGCCGGUGGUGACAAUCACAACCGUCUCCAGACAUUGCCCAAAGUCUCUGCGACAGAGAGGCCAAACGCUCCCCAGUGGAAAAGACUGCUCGUGUGACUAAUGAUGUAGCGCAUAUUUUCAUGUGCUUAUUUGCUAUUGACAUGUUUUCUUUGGCAAAGUGUUUCUGACACGCUUUGCCCACCCUUAAAUUAGUUGUUUGUCUUGGUAUUGUUGAGCUGUGAGAGUCCUUAUGCAUUCUAGAUACAAGUCAUUUGUUGGAGGCAUGUUUGAAAAUAUUUCCCCCAUCCUAUGUCUGGCCUUCUAAUUUUUAUAACAUUGUGUUUUGGAGAGGAAAACUUCUUAAUUUUGAUAAAGUCCAAUUUAUUACUUUCUAUUAUCACUUGCAUUUUUAAUAUUCUAUUUAAGAAAAAUUGCCAGAUUAAAUGUAAGUAAAGUUUUCCCUUGGAAGUUUUAUGGUUGUAUCUAUUAUAUUUAGGUGUAUGAUUAAUUUUGAGUUAAUUUUGUAUGUGGUAUGAGGUAAGGUGGAGCUCUACUUCUUAUUUUUUUAUUCUUAUUUUUAUUUUUUUAAAGUAGGAUCCACAUCCAACACGGGGCUUGAACUCAAGACUCUCAGAUCAGGAGUCACAUGCUCUACUGACUGAGCCAGUCAGGACUAUGUAAGUGGCAAUACCUUGUAAAUGCAAAUUAUUUGUAAAGCAGGUUAAUUUUUAAUUGAUUUUUGUAUCCAGCUAACUGGAUAUUCCCACUUACUAGUUCUAUCAGUUCUUUUAUUGUAGAUCGUUUAACAUUUUCCACGUAGAUGAACACGUCGUCUAUGAAUAAAGAUGGUUUGAUUUUUUCUCUUUUUAAUCUUGAUUAUUUUUAUUUUUCUUGACUUAUUAUAUUACAUAGAACCUCUAGUGCUGUGUUGAAUAGAGGUUGGAUUUUAUCAGUUUGUUCUGUUGAGAUAAUCAUGUUUCCUUUUUUAUUCUAUUAGCACAGUGUAUUACAUUGAUUAGAUUUUAAAUAUUGAUCUAACUGCAUUCCUAGAAUAAACCCCAGUGGGUCAUGGUGUGUUAUAAUGUUUAAUAUAUUGCUAGAUGUGAUUUGUUAAAAUUUCAUUAAGAAUUUUUGGGCCUUUGUUAGGGAUGUUGGCUUGUAGUUUUAUUUUCUUAUAAUAUUUUUGUCUGCUUUUGGGACCAGGGUAAUGCUGGGCUCAUAAGUUGAACUGGGAAGAGUUCUCUCCUCCUUGGUUUCUGGAAGUAACUGUAUAGAAGUGGUAUUACUUCUUAGCUAGAAGUUUGGUAGAACUUAAUCAGUCAAGCCAUCAGGUCUAGAAUUCCCUUUGUAGAAAAGUGUUAAAGUACAAAUUCAAUUUUGUAAUAGAUAUUUGCCUAUUUAUGUUUAUCUAUUUCUUCAAGUAGAUUUGAUAGCUUGUCUUUGAAGAAAUUUACGUAUUUCAUCUAAGUUGAAAAAUUUACAGCAUAAAAUUGUUCAUAAUAUUAUUUCUUUUUAAUAGGAUUGGUAAUGAUAUCUUCUUUCCUUUUUUUUUUUUUGUAUUGGUAACUUGUAUUUUCUCUUUUUAUUUCCUGUUCAAUCUGGUUUGAAGUUUAUCAGUUUCAUUGACCUUUCCAAAGAACCAAUCUUUAAUUUUAUUGAUUUGGCAAAAAUCUUUUAGAUAUGAUACCAAAAGUAUAAUCCAUAAAAUU